UCGAGGUAAUUCCACCUCCAUCAUGUGCUCCAAAUUCAUAUUUCAUUUUUCUAGAAUUACAAAAUUCAGUAAAAAAAUAUAAAUUAUAAUUUUCCUUCUUAAUUUUUAUAUUCAAAAUAAUUGAAUGGAAUUAAGAAAAAAUAAUAAAAAUACCCAUUUUUUAUCAAAAAUACUGUGUAAUUUUUUUGUGUUAAAAUAUCAAACUUACGGU
This 211-nucleotide long non-coding RNA is filed under the name Ricinus communis (castor bean). RNAcentral's name for it is "long non-coding RNA (RCOM_LNC002449)". The record is from RNAcentral. Lineage: Eukaryota; Viridiplantae; Streptophyta; Magnoliopsida; Malpighiales; Euphorbiaceae.